UAUAAUUUUUUACGAAUAACGGAACUUUAGAAACUGGCGCGACAGGAUGCUCACCCCUCCCCUGGUGCCAGGGCCAGACGCUAGUACAGAGCGACUCGUGGACCGGGACGGACGCACGUCCCACGGGGAGACAUCAUCACUGAACUUCCUUCUGGGCCAGUGGUGCAGCAGCCAUUAGGGAUCCCUAACAUCAUCACCACCGCCGCCGUUCCUAGUGGACCACGCAGGGGCCUUCGGACCUCACGACCCACCUCGUGGCUAACCACCGCGUUAGCCUGGCGCCCUCCCGGACACGUUUCCCCGCAAGAAAACAGCCUUCCCGCUGGGAACCCCGCCGAGUCUCGAACACGAGAACCCGGGCGACGGCAUUGUAAAGGAUGUUUGUACCAAUAAACACGUCACAUUA
This is a long non-coding RNA of Bacillus rossius redtenbacheri, 406 nucleotides long. RefSeq lists it as uncharacterized. The record is from RefSeq and is a predicted model, not a curated record. Lineage: Eukaryota; Metazoa; Arthropoda; Insecta; Phasmatodea; Bacillidae. The transcript has 2 exons.